This 514-nucleotide ribosomal RNA is filed under the name uncultured bacterium. RNAcentral's name for it is "partial 16S ribosomal RNA". It matches the Rfam family "Bacterial small subunit ribosomal RNA", at positions 28 to 523 of the family's 1533-position model. The record is from RNAcentral.
GAUGAACGCUGGCGGCGUGCCUAAUACAUGCAAGUCGAGCGAACAGAUGAGAAGCUUGCUUCUCUGAUGUUAGCGGCGGACGGGUGAGUAACACGUGGGUAACCUACCUAUAAGACUGGGAUAACUCCGGGAAACCGGGGCUAAUACCGGAUAAUAUUUUGAACCGCAUGGUUCAAUAGUGAAAGACGGUUUCGGCUGCCACUUAUAGAUGGACCCGCGCCGUAUUAGCUAGUUGGUAAGGUAACGGCUUACCAAGGCGACGAUACGUAGCCGACCUGAGAGGGUGAUCGGCCACACUGGAACUGAGACACGGUCCAGACUCCUACGGGAGGCAGCAGUAGGGAAUCUUCCGCAAUGGGCGAAAGCCUGACGGAGCAACGCCGCGUGAGCGAUGAAGGUCUUCGGAUCGUAAAACUCUGUUGUUAGGGAAGAACAAAUUUGUUAGUAACUGAACAAGUCUUGACGGUACCUAACCAGAAAGCCACGGUUAACUACGUGCCAGCCGCCGCUGUAA